AUCGAAAACAAAGUGGAAGCACGGAGCCCUCCGUGCUUCCAUAAGCAUCCUAGCCGCACUCUAUAUGAUACAACUAUUGUUCUUUAAAAACUUAAACUAAUAUUUUUGUAUUUUUAUAUUUAACACUUUUUCUCACAUAUGAGGCUUGAAACUUUUUUGAUAGCUCCAUGAUAUAGACUUAAAUUAAAUAGAAAACAAUUAAUUAUUCUAGGAGUCUAACGUGACUCGCAUUUAUGACUUUUUGCUCUGUUAUCAUAUUAAAUUAAAUGAAAC
RNAcentral lists this long non-coding RNA (273 nucleotides) under Ananas comosus (pineapple). RNAcentral's name for it is "long non-coding RNA (ACOM_LNC011705)". The record is from RNAcentral. Lineage: Eukaryota; Viridiplantae; Streptophyta; Magnoliopsida; Poales; Bromeliaceae.